AGCAGCAUAGUAUAUUUGCUUCUAGCUCUCUGCAACUCACAUGGUUGCCCACUUAAGCUGAGCAGCUCUGUGCCUGAUUAGUACCUGGAUGGGAGACGACAUAGGAAAGCUAGGUUGCUGCUG
This 123-nucleotide ribosomal RNA is filed under the name Danio rerio (zebrafish). The record is from RNAcentral. Lineage: Eukaryota; Metazoa; Chordata; Actinopteri; Cypriniformes; Danionidae.